CUUUUUUUAGACGGAAUUGUAUCUCCAAGCAGUUGAAAUAUCACCAACUUAGCAAUAUUUUGCUUGCAUCAAAAUUUGCUCCAUUACAGCUCUGUUAAACUAGAAUGCCACAUGAAAUUCUCCCACUGUUGCUAAAUGAAUGUGGAAACCUUUGACAGCAAUGGGACUGUGCAAUUUAGGAAAGAUUGUGGUGGAGGUGAAAGAAGGGAUCUGGAUAUUAGCUUCUGUUUUUAAAUUCUGUCUUUUGGCUGAAUCCAUUUAUGGCUCAAGUUUGUUCCAAUGAUUUCGUGGUCCUUGGAUGUCAUUGAAAAGUCCUUGAAUGUAUUUAAAAAAAUUGAGUGGAAAAACCGCACAUUUCAUCCCUACCUUCCCAAAAAAGAAAUUUGACUGAUCAAAAUGUAUCAUCUGCCAGAACAUUUCUGUUUGUUUCAAUCAGAAUUGAGUGUCAUGUAAAAUUCAUCCUCUUUCAAAUCAAUAAAAUUGUAUUUCCAUUCAUUUAGAACAGAAUAGAAAUAAAUAAGUUUUAAAAAGUU
Molecule: non-coding RNA, 533 nt
Organism: Parasteatoda tepidariorum (common house spider)
Lineage: Eukaryota; Metazoa; Arthropoda; Arachnida; Araneae; Theridiidae
Source: RefSeq, a predicted model, not a curated record